Molecule: ribosomal RNA, 301 nt
Filed under: uncultured bacterium
Lineage: Bacteria
Description: partial 16S ribosomal RNA
Rfam family: Bacterial small subunit ribosomal RNA
Source: RNAcentral
CAGCCGCCGCGGUAAUACGAAGGGGGCUAGCGUUGCUCGGAAUUACUGGGCGUAAAGGGAGCGUAGGCGGAUCGUUAAGUUGGGGGUGAAAGCCCGGGGCUCAACCUCGGAACUGCCUUCAAUACUGGCGAUCUUGAGUAUGAGAGAGGUGUGUGGAAUUCCACGUGUAGCGGUGAAAUGCGUAGAGAUGUGGAGGAACACCAGUGGCGAAGGCGACUCUCUGGUCUGUAACUGACGCUGAGGAGCGAAAGCGCGGGGAGCGAACAGGAUUAGAUACCCGCGUAGUCCCUGUCUCUUAUAC